RNAcentral lists this ribosomal RNA (233 nucleotides) under uncultured bacterium. RNAcentral's name for it is "partial 16S ribosomal RNA". It matches the Rfam family "Bacterial small subunit ribosomal RNA", at positions 100 to 334 of the family's 1533-position model. The record is from RNAcentral.
CGGGACGGGUGAGUAAUGUCUGGGAAACUGCCUGAUGAAGGGGGAUAACUACUGGAAACGGUAGCUAAUACCGCAUAACGUCGCAAGACCAAAGAGGGGGACCUUCGGGCCUCUUGCCAUCGGAUGUGCCCAGAUGGGAUUAGCUAGUAGGUGGGGUAACGGCUCACCUAGGCGACGAUCCCUAGCUGGUCUGAGAGGAUGACCAGCCACACUGGAACUGAGACACGGUCCAG